RNAcentral lists this ribosomal RNA (2175 nucleotides) under Triticum aestivum (bread wheat). Its description in RNAcentral is "partial small subunit ribosomal RNA". The record is from RNAcentral. Lineage: Eukaryota; Viridiplantae; Streptophyta; Magnoliopsida; Poales; Poaceae.
AUGCCCUACCUAGUAAUCAGUCUGCUCGGAAAAGAAAACACAACCCCCACUCCCUCCCCCUCCUCAUCCGACCGAAUGAAGCGCAGACGUGAGGCGUUCGACUUCAACGUGAGGAAGGAGGUCUUCGCCGUCGGCAAGAUGUGCGGCGAAGAAAGGAAUUUGCUUCGCAAGCGAUUCCGGGCGGAGCUCGUCGCUGUCCGUGGCCUGCUCGAGAAGGCGGAUCGGUUCUUGGCCCCCGGAGCCGCCGAGGGCCGCCGCGGUGGUGCGGCGCCUUCUUCCUUGUUCGGCCUGGCGGCUCUGCCCGGCAAGAAAGAAGGGCGACCCUUGCUGGGCGCCGAACCACCAUCCGAUGUGUCGAUGAAGGCUGACGACGGCAAGAGGAGGAUGACAACUCCUCUGGCGGAGCACAAAGAGGCGCCCAAGAUGACCUCGGCGGAGCGCCAACAGCUAGCCUUCAGCCUGGUGGCGCUAGCGGCAGAACUGUCCGGCCCCGCCGUCGAGCUCUUGCCGAAGCAGAACAAUGGCGGCCGACGCGAGAUCGAGGUAAACGUGUGCUCCAUGGAAGACGCGGCCCUGUUCGAGCUAAAGAUGCACGUGGACAAGCUCGUCAAAACGAGGGAUCCGUCGCUGCCGCCGCAAGAUGGCAGCAAGAUCGUUGAGCAUGAAGACGCAGCCCUGUUCGAGCUAAAGGUGCACGUAGACAAGCUCGUUAAAACGAGGGAUCCGUCGCUACCCCCUCAAGAUGACGGCAAGAUGGUUGAGGAUGAAGACGAAAAUGGCAGGCGCGUCGAUAUCUGCCCCGGCGUGUCUCCCGUGGUGACCACCCCGUCGCCACUCCAACUUGAAAUUCUUGAAUACGCGGCCGUCUUCAAUGCAACCGGACUAGUCGACAAGAUGCUGUCACCGCUGCCGCAGAAAUACCUGGCGCUCGCUGAAAAGAGGGAGAAGGAGUGCAUCGCCGAGAAGGAGGAUGAUGAGGAGUACGUUGACAUCUGCGGCGACGCCUCGCCGGUGGUGUUCCAGAAUCUCAUUGGUGCAAUCAGCCACAACCCAAGCAUUAUCUUAAGCAGCGAUUCUGAUUCUGAUUCAGACGCAGACAUCGGGUCCGACAGUGAUUCCAGUGACUCUGGUUCGGUCUCCGACAACCACUGCGAUGAGAAGGGGGGCACUCUAGCUCCGCCAGUUCUUCCUAAGGUUAGCAGCUCAGCCCCAGCAGUUCUUUCCAAAGUGAUUAACGAUUCUGCACCACCAUCGGAGCCAACACUGGAGGUGGUACAGAAUGGAGAACUGAAGAAGCUUGACAAUCCAGCUCCAGCAAUUCUUCCCAAGGUGAAUGGCCAUUCUGCCGGCCGUCCAUCGGAGCCGGCACCGGUGAUACAGAAUGCAGAACCAGAGCACGUUAGCAUUCUAGCUCCAUCAGCUCUAUGCAAAAUAGUUGACGAUUCUGCUGCCCAACCAUCAGAGCCGGCACUGGAGGUGGUACCUUUACAGAGUGGGGAACCAGCAGGCAAGCAUAGUAGCCCAGCUCCGGUACUUCUUCCCAAGGUGAACGGUGAUUCUGCUGGCCAGGCACCGGUGCUACAGAAUGCUGAACCAGAGAAGGUAAGCAGCCCGUCUCCGGCAGUCCUUUACAAAGUGGUUGAUGGUUCUGCUCCGUCACUGGAGGCUGGACCGAAGGUGGUACAGAAUGGUUUUGAAACAGAGAAGCUUGACAGUCCAACUCCAACACCAUCAGUUAAUCUUUCUAAUGUCAAUGAUGGUUCUUCCCUGCCAUCAUCGAAGCCUACAUCGGAGAUGGUGCAGAAUGCAGAACCAGAAAAGCUCCCCGACAAGCCUCCGGCGAGGCCGAUGAGCGAGCUGAUCGCCGCAGCGUUGGAAAAGCGGCGGCGGGAGGAGAGGUCCCAGGCGAGGGAGAAAGCCCGUCAGGAUCUGGUGGAGACGGAGAGGUCGGCCAUGACCAGCCACAGGGUACACCCAGCGGACAUGGAGCGGCUUGGCAUCCUUGACAUCGAGCACAUGGUGACCCAACACAGACGGCCUGGUGUUCCUCCCAGUCUGUUGCAGCAGCUUGGGCUCUUUCUGAGGGCUGAUGAAGACGACUGUGGAGAGCAGCAGCAGCCCAUCUCCGAUCCCGGCGUUCAAGACCUGGAGGAAGGGGAGAUUCUACCGUCGUAG